UAUUUAUUUUUAUUUAUUUUUGUUUGUUUAUUUAAUUUUAAACCAAGGGUAUUAGAGAUAUUUUACCCUUUAAUGAAUGUCAUUUUUGUGACUUUUUCCUUCUAGUGCUAUUUUUGAGACAUAAACUUCAAAAGGUGCUAUUAUUGACAAUUGCCCUAAAAUGUUUGAUGUUUUUGGUUUUUUUUUUUCUGUGAUAAUCAAAUAUUACUAUUAUUUGUUUGUUUUCAUGUUAUGAAUCUUAGAUAGUCGUGAUGUCGAACCAAUGGUUUCAUAUUAUUGUUUCUAAACGGAUAAUAGUAAAAAAAAAAAAAUUUAUCCAGACAAAUCAUUUUACUACAAUUUGUUCGAUAGUGAAAGAAGCAUUAAGAAAAAAAAAGAAUA
This 381-nucleotide long non-coding RNA is filed under the name Brassica rapa (field mustard). RNAcentral describes it as "long non-coding RNA (BRAP_LNC005718)". The record is from RNAcentral. Lineage: Eukaryota; Viridiplantae; Streptophyta; Magnoliopsida; Brassicales; Brassicaceae.